GGAAAAUGUUUCUACUAUAAGAAAAACCCCUUUAAAAGUGGGCGAAAUAUUUUUCACUUUUGAAAAAUGAAAAACAUUUUACGUAACUUAUUCCACCUCAUUUUCUUUCACUAAACACAUUUUCAUUUCAUUUUCAUAUUUUCUUUUUCUUUUUUUUAAAAUUCGGUUUUAGUUUUUUUCUUUACUUUCUUUCCUUUCUCUUCUUCUUCUUAGGCCUUGGCCAAUCGCCGACCACGGUGGUAGCUAGCAACCAACCAUUGGCGAGCUCGGCUUCAAUUGGCCAUAAGCCAGGUCAGUGAGGCUCGAGCUUGAUCUGACUACCGCCAUGGCCAGCCACUAGCCCAAGUUGACCCAGGCUCGCCGAAAAAAAUUAAAAUUUAAAAAAAAAUGAAAAAGAGUGUAGAGCCCUUGGGGGUAAAGAAAAAAGAGAUAAAAUUUUAGGAGUCGGGUAGAAUUUCUGCCUAAAGUAGAAAAAAAAUUGGUUAUUUUCCUGAAAAAUGGUUUCUUGGAGAACCAUUUCUAGAAAUAGUAUAUUUUUCGGGAAACGAAAGGAACCUGAAAUUUUUUUGCAAAUUCUUUAGUCCGGUUCCAUAUAAGGAAUCGGAGAUCUGGCCUCAAACUAGUCCGUUUGGUCCGGUCCGGCUCGCUUGCUGGAUUGAACCGGGACGGACGCAGCCGCCCCUAGUCNNNNNNNNNNNNNNNNNNNNNNNNNNNNNNNNNNNNNNNNNNNNNNNNNNNNNNNNNNNNNNNNNNNNNNNNNNNNNNNNNNNNNNNNNNNNNNNNNNNNGAAGAACCUUCAUUUCCGUCGUCGAAAGUUAUCAGCAACUCGGCUAAAGAGCGUUACAGUGUAAAGAGCAUAUUCAUUAUCCUCAUGUAACUGCUUCGAGGAUCUGGGGACGUGACAGAACAGAAAAUUAGUAAGACAUGGCGAGAAGAAGGUAGGCCAGAAAGUUGUAGAUACUAUCUUGGCAACACAUCAUAUGCAACAAAGGUAGCACUCAUUAUGAUAGCAAGGCAGUGCCAACGGUCAUGAAAAUAGCACAUGGAGUGAGGAUGUAGAGAUAAAAGAAACACUUACCACAUAGCUUGUCAAAGUUUCAUAGCUUGACAACCAAUCCUUCUGUGAAUAUUUAGGUACUACUGCAAGGAGAGUUGUCAAGUUUUCUGAAAUGACAAUAUCCUCAGGUUUGACCAGAUUUGAAAGAUCACGGACAGCUAAGCUGAAGUAUAGAGAGAAGUAACCAAGCAAUGAGUAAUAAAAACAUUCUUGCCGUAGCUCAAUCAGAACCGGUAUAGUAGCUUUACCUUCCACUCUGCUUUCUGUUGAUAGCAUUCAGCUGACUCCGCACAUUGUUAUACUCAGCAACACGAACCUAAAAUACAAGAUCAAUACAUGCUUCAAUUUGAAAAAGAUUUGAUGAACUAACAGGCAAUGGUCAUAAUAGUAUGUAUGAGCUUUGCACGGAAGAGGUGCUCAAUUUGAUGUCUAAUAACCUAUACUUGCUAAGCUGAACUCUUGCAGCAACAACAACAACAUCACCGUCAUCAUCAACUGACAAAGCUUUACCCGCUAAGCCGAGUUCAUCACACGAAUGCUGUCACGCCUAAUUCUUACUCCCUUUGCUACUAGACUAUCGAAUAAGAUUUUCUAUGAGCAAACAGAAGCAAAACUAAGUCUCUCCCUCACACAGACCAACUACCUCAUUUAGCUAAGGAAGGCAUCAAUGGAUAACAUGUACAUACACUUAACAUGAAAAGCAAAAGGAAGGUUUUUACCUUCAGAUCAUCUUCGAUCUUCGCGACUUGUCCCUGAAUUGUGUCGACAGUCUCCCUCAAGGGAGCCAUCGCAGGGUACUUAGCAUCAUCCCAGACAAACCUUCCAUGCAAGAUCAAGGCUCAGUUCCCCACACAAAGAUUACUUCUACAUGGUAAAAGGUUAAAAAAAAACCAAAAAAAUUACACAGAAGCAGUUCUAAACUGUCGUAAGUCCCUCCAUUUCGGCCAAAGGCCCGAAAUCGAAUUCGCAACCCGAAACACGGGCACCAAAUUUCCCAGAAGAGCAACACAAUCAAGAACCAAUCACAUACCUCGUGAGGUAAGAGUCAACCGGCACGCCAUCCACCGUAAGAGAACUGCUCUCCACGCCCGACACCCUCUCCAGCUCCUCGAUCUGGCGCCUGAUCUUGUGCGACACGCCUUCCACAAAGGUGUUCGACUGCACAAUUACCCACACACGCAUCCCAGUUACCCACUCCGCCCGAAGAAAAUCAGCAGGCAAACGCCUCGCGAUCCUCAAAUCCCCAAACUUAGACGAAGAGGAAUAAAAAAUCACCUUUUGGAGAUCGUCGCUGAGGGCGAGGAGGGAGUCCAGGGUUCCCACGCGGAGAUUGGGGAUGUUGAACUGCAGAAUCGGGCGGGAUCGUCAGGUUCGACAAAGAUCGGAGGAAGCGAGCACGGUCUCGGAGCCGGAUCUCGAAGGGAAGGAAAUGAACGAAGGAAGAAGGAGGAGGAGGACGUACCCGGUAGAGAGGAGUGUCGAAGGAGUGCCUGGAGAUCUGCUCCUGGAGGCGGUUCCAGAGGGACGCGGCGGACGCGGAGCCCUGCUGCACCGGGAGCGACACCACCCAGUAUCGGCUCGCCAUUGUCUUCCCGAGCUCGCUGGCGGCGGCGGCGGCGGCGGCGAUCGGCGAUCGGCGAUCGGCGGCGGAGAGAGGGCGGCGAUCGGAGGAGGUGGUGGUCGUGGGAGUGCGGCCCGUCGAGAGUGGAGCGAUGCGGUGGCGAAACUCCUUUUCCUUUCGUUUCCUUCGUUUUUUGCCGGACGUCGCUCCAAAAUCUCGCAGGCUGCGGUCGGUCCUCUUUCCUUUUUGUAUUUUUCCCCUUAAUUAGACAUUGGUGUGGAGACACGUAGGCAGUACUCGCGAGGUGCGAUCUUAUUUCAUAAUGGUAUAUGAAGAAAUUAUUUUUUUUAUAUAAAGUUGAUUGUUAUUAUUAUUUUUUUAUAACCCAGGAAAUCCGCGCGCUAUACCAACACGGGCAGCCUGACAGGCAUGAGGUAACAGGGGGUAAACCCUAGGGCGACACUAGCGGAGAACCCACCACCCCGACGUCGCACUUAAAAUCCCGUACAGCUAGCGAGAUUCGAACUUCUCCCCUCUCGCAAAGGAUCAUAAGAGCAUUUAUUCAACUGGGCCACCGCAGACGGUGAUAAGUUGAUUAUUUUCUUUUAUGGUCGGAAGAGUGGCUUUUUUUUUUUUUUUUUUUUUUUUUUUAGCAAGGGAAGAGUGGCUUGUUUAAUUGAGUGGACAUGUAGGGUGUGUUUGUCUAUAACAAGUUGCUUGGGUCUCUCGCCGGAAAUAAGAGAAAAUUUCAAAUAAAUAAAUGUGUAAAGUGUCAUCAUUUUUUCAAAUAAAGGUUUGAAAUGGAAUUUGUGUCAAAUAGAAGUUGAAAGUGGAUGUUGUGUCAAAGAAGAACUUAAAGUGGCCAUGGUUGUUAUUGAUUGCUGGUCAGCUAAAUAUUCUGACCGGCCAAAAUGCAUUUUUGUCUAAAUACAAUUUUAAUUUUAUAUUCUUUUUUUCUCUUUUUGAAAAGGCACAUGUGACCGUUGGUUAGGGCUAAUGAAGACUCGGUUACCCUUGUUGGCCCUUGCCAGUGGGCAACGCGACCCAUGCCCAAACCUAGCGAGGAUAGCCUUCCCUAAGGCAAGGCAACCCUCACCUUGCCCAAGUAAGCCCAUCUCUUGCUAGAUCGAGUGAGGGAAACCCUCAUCUAGCCUUUUCUGGGCAUUGUCAGUCAGCGAAACACUAGUGAAGAAUAAAGAAAACCAGAAAAAGGAAAAAAUUCAAAAAAAAAAUGUGAAUAAUGAAAAUAUUAUUGACGAGUUAGAAAGUUAGAUCCUUAUGUGAAACAAAUACAAUCACUUCGAGCUUUUAUUUGAAGUAAGAUAUACUUAAAAUCCUUAUUUAAUAAAAUAAUGGCACUUUAGGCCAUUGUUUAAACUAGUGUCCAUUUUAUGUUUUUAUUUAAGAAAACAAAAGUACUUUAUUCCUUUAUUUGAAAUUUUCCCUAAGAACUAAUGAAUGGAUGGAAAAUGUUUUCAUCAUUUAUGAAAAUAUUUAGGCAUAAUUCUUGUUGAUAAUAAUAAUAUUGUCCCUUAACUAAUUUUUAUAAGCGAUAUAACCAAUUAGUUUUAUGAAAACGAUUUUCAAAUCAUUCAAUUUUUUUUUUUUAUGAAACAAACAAACCCUUAACAUGUGUUUGUCUAAAAAAAACUUCAUAACAAAAGGAAAAUGCUUUUCCAGAAAUAACUUUUUCAAAAAAUGUUUUGCUUUUUUCAAAUUAGGGAAUUCGUUUUUUAUAAUUUUAACCAUACAUAUUUUCUUUGACCGUAAAUAGUUAGUGUUUGACCAAUUAUGUACAACAAACCAAACUAAUGAAAGUCCAAAAAACUAGUUCUCGAAAAAUUCUUUCAUCGAAACACACUUGUAACGUGUUAUUAUUAAAAUGAGUGAAUCAUGUAAUUAGUUAACGUAAAGAUAAUUUUGAAAAGUUAAAAGCGAGACAAAAAGGAAUUUUCAAUUUAUAUAAAUGGAUUUGCUGAUUCUUAAUAUAUAUUUUUUUAUGCUCAACUUUUAGUUCGGAAAGCCCCCAGGUAAUUUUAGAAAUUCUUCAAAAAGGAAUGUUAUGAUAUUAAAGUUCCAUUAUACUUUAAAAAAUGCUGAAAAGUGGCACGACAAUAAUCAGUAGAACGAAAUAGAAAUGAAAAUAUAAAAAGAACAGGGGAAUGAAAUGACGCCCACCGUGGGGCUCGAACCCACGACCACAAGGUUAAGAGCCUUGCGCUCUACCAACUGAGCUAGACGGGCUUUCGUUGACGCUUCUAUGAUAUUUUAAUAUAAAACGUGUUAAGAGACCUCAACUUCCUUCCUCCAUGUGACGAACUUCAUGACUUCUAAAGACCUCCUUUUUGCUUUGAGGGAUGACAAGCGCUUGUAAUUAUUCAAUAAGAAACUAUAUAGACGGACACAAGCACGCAUUUACGAAGGGACCGAUUAAGAAGUUCAGCCAAAAUAUAGUGACCCCAAUCUGACUUAUUUCCCAAAAGAUAUUACAGUAGCAUAAUCAUUGAAUCCCGAGUUCAUCCUUCGUUCUUUUUUGGCCUUUUCGAUGGAGGUGAAGUUUAAUUAGAUGAUGAUUAGUAAGAGAAUUACCGGCAGCAUAAGUGAGAACCCAUGAAAGUUCAUUCGGUGACAUUUUUUUUUUUUUUUUUAAACUUAGGCUCUACUUGUUUCGUGAAAAUUGAAUGAUUUAGAAAGUACUAUCUCAAAAAAAUAACUGUUUACAAAAAUAAAUGAACGAAAAAUAUUUUUAUUAUCCAUGAAGAUGUUUAGAUAUAAAAUCGUUAUCGGUAAUGAAAACAUCUUUUAUUAGUUAAUUAUUUUAAAUAAUACAAGCGAUCAUUCUCAAAAAAAUAUUUUGUCAAUUAUUCACUUUUCGCAAAAUGAACAUAGCAUUAUAGUUUCGUCUCAAAAAUUUCGAUCGGUACAAUUUUAUUUUUAGUUAUUUUGUUUGAUUGAGUCUUACAACUGGCCCUAGAUUCUUAGGAGUUAUACGAUCCGUUUAUUGUUCUUCUUUUUUUUUUUUUAUACUAAUUUCUUUCUUAUUAUUCUUCUUUGUUUUUGUAUGAGAUCUUUUUGUUUUUGUUCAGUUUUUUUUUCUAUGAGAUCUUAGAGAGAACUAAAACAGCCUUAAUUUAGGGAAAGAAAAAGUUUUGUUGCAUCUAAUCAAGGGGAAAAAGGAAAUUAGCAAAAGAUAAUAAUUGUUGCGUUUUAGAUAAAGGUAUCAAAAUGGGUUGAAAACCCACUUUGAAGCCAAACUCAAUGAGAUGGGUCAUAUAUGGGUUAGUUAAGUUUUAAUAAAUGGAUUAUUAAUGGGUUUGGGUUGUAUGUAAGUCUAAUCAUAUAUGAUUGCAAAUGGGUUUGUCUUUAAAUCCAUUUACAACCUAUUUAACUUAUAUAGGUUAUUAGUUAUUAGUUAAGUCAACCCAUCAAGGAUCCAUCAUCCUCUUUGAAUAGUUUUCAUAAUUUUUAUUUUUAAAAAUUUUCUAUUUUUUAAUAAUUUUUAUUUUUUUAUUUUUUAUUUUUUUUCUUUUACACCGUGUCCCCUAUGAAGUUCGGUGGCCAACUCUCGCUAGUUGUGGGCGAGGUUUGCGACCCCUACCCAAUUGCAUCGGCAAGCCUCGAGCUCGUCGAUUAAGUGAGGCCGAUGCCUUGCUGGAUUGAGGCAAAAUUGACUCACCAAAUUUGAGCUCGCCAACCUCGGCAUUGGAGAGGCUCGAGCCUCCCCAAUCUAGCAAGACUCGAGCUCCCCGAAUUGGGCAAGGCCGAGGCUUGAGCCUCACUGAUCUAGCGAGACUCAAGCUCGCCAGCAUUGAGACGAGCUUGACCUCAUCGGAUUUGGUGAGGUGGAGCCUCACCGACCUGUGGUGAGGUUGGAGCUCACCUAUUGCUAGCCACUGUGACCUUGGGCAACGACUGGGUGAAUUAAAAGGAGUGCACAAAAAUCAAAUUAGAUUUUCUAUACCAAGCGAAAAAUAUUUUUUAAUUCAUUUUUAAUUUUUAAUCAAAUACCAGAAAAUAUUAUCAUUUUUAGAAUUACCAUGCUUUGCAUGAAAUAAAUAAAGCCUCAAUUUUAGAAAAAAAAAUAGAAAAUUUAUCCAUUAAUUUUGUAAUUGUACUGAAGUGUUUUAUCAAUAUAAUUUUUAUAAUUAUAAGAAACAAUUUUUUCUAGAUUUGGUUAACAGUGAAAGUGUUUUAGCAAUAUGGGUAAAGUCGAGUAUGAAUUAGAUACGAAUUGUGUUUUAGUAAUAUGAGUCAAGUCGAGUAUGAAUUAGAUACGAAUUAGGUCUGAAUUAGGUUGGGUGUGAGUAAAUAAAUUUACAUUAAUAAAAAAAAAUAGAUGAUAGACGGGUUAAUGGAUCAAUUUGGUUUGGACAAUUUAUAAUCUGAUCCAAACCCGACUAGAUCUACCCAUUUAACGGGUCUAGUUUUAGAUAACAUUAGAGAUGUAAGAAGUUCAAAAAAGAAUAAAACUAUCGAUCUAGCAACAAAUUCUUAUUAAGUGCUCGAAUGUGAUCCACAUAUAAAAUUCUACUCACAAUACUUAUCACAAAGUAUUGUCACAUUACUUGAUACACACCAAACGUCCAACUUUAUAGUAACAAUGAAAGCAUGCCACAGGUUUGACAUACACUUGUUAUUUCUUAUUGAAAGCUACAUAGAUAAGCAUAUAUAUAUAUGGAUUCAAAAGAUUGAUAGAUCCAUCUUGGCCCAAACAUAAGUCACCCCCCGCUCAAAUUUGUUUCAAGUUCUAGCAAAAGGCAGCUUCAAUUCGGUUUGAUCAAGACCAUGACCUUAGCAGAAGUCAUCGAAGCACCAGUUCUCAACCGUACCGAAGCUUUCCGGCGGAGAGAUCCUAGCAUAGUUGGUCAUGGAUCCGCCCAAAAAAUCGAGUGGAGAGUCAUUGGAGAAGCUGGUGUCAUAGACGAAUGACAUCUCCACGUCGUGAUCGAUGGUAGGGUAAGUCUCUUCGAAGGAGUUGAUGUUAUUGUUCAUCUCGUCGUGGUCUUGAAGAGGUAGGUCGCUGAUGGUGCUCUUGGCGAUGUCUGUAUAAACAUCUUCUUCAGAAGCUUUUUUGGCCUGAAUCACCUGCCAAAAUGUAGAGAGCUAGCGCAAUCACCUGCUGUCAAUAAUCAAGAUAGCUGUGUGCUACGAAAUUGCCCCAAUCUCAUUCAAGCAUUAGAAUAGCAUUUAACUUACAUAGUUGUGAUUUUGACAGUCUUGGUACACCAUGAUGAAAUCUCCUACUUGUAACCCAUGCGUGGUCACAAAAUCCCCUAGGACAUAAAACAGACCAUAUAAAUUAUCAUCGAGUACCGCGAAAGCAAAAUAUAAACAAAGUCAAAAAGUGAAUCUUACUCAACUAAACAAUGACGUGCAUACCGGUGUUCUCAAGGACAUACAUUCGACUGUUGUUAUUAGGCCAAAAUCUGCAGGAAGAGAGAUGUCGAUUCAAAUUUGUCACCUCAUCAGUGAGAAAAGCGCGAAAAAGAAAACAUAGUUCCAUCUUAAUCACCCUUAGCCAAAACUUUCUUAGAUGAGCUCAAUUGGUCACUACAAGCAUGGACCAAUGCGGUACCAUUGUGAUUUAGGUUAAAAUUGAAGCGUACUCGAACCUGUAUUUGAAGCUCCACGUGUGUUGACCAUCCAGAUCAUACAUGUUUAUGAAAAUACCCUCCUUGGAUUCUAGCGCAGGAAGAUGAGCCUCUGCUGCUUUCUGAAAUAAUUUGUGUGGUUAGCAAUUUUGAAUUAGUAGUAAUAAUUACUAUUUGUUAACACUAGCAAAUAGCCAAAAGUUGAGAAUUUUUUAUAGUAAUGACCAACAAAGUUAAGCAUAUGUAGAAAGAUAAGCAAGUACCUUUGGGAGUAUCAUUCUUCUCAGGGAGCUCACAUCACUGUUCUUGAGCUCCUUUUGGAAGAGGAAACUUAGACUCCGUGGAUCAAAUUCCUAUAAUCAAAUCCGAGUCAUGAAAGCUUUACCGAGAUUAUUACAAAGAGGUUACUUAGAACACGUACCAUGGCUCUGCAGCAAAGUGAAGUGAAGAGCAUAAUUCAUAAUACAAGUAAGCUAGGAUAUCCCUUGUGGAAAAGACAAAAAGAGAGCAGAAAUCUACAAGCUAAACCAAUUGACAAAUCACGUCCAAUCGUAAACUAAUACCAACGAGAUAACUUACUGUAUAAAGGACUAUCAUUACGUUACGGUUAUAGUCACCCAAAUGACAUACGUUGUGAUUUUGUGGAUCCAAAAAACUUACUAGAUGUGGUGAACUCGAAACACCUAAACCAACCAUUGUACACAAGAUCCGUUGCCGUUAGCCACUAUCCAUUAGGAAAGUAUCUGGCCAUUAAACAGAAAAAGCUGAUAAACAACCAGAAGAAGAAGUUCUAAAUCUGACCAAUCGAACCCAAGUCUCCAGAGGAAGCCAUCCAAGAAAAUUCCCCUUUAUGUAUAUGAUUACAAUCUAGUAAAUCUCUAUAUGACGAUUGGACUGAAUGAGACCGAUGGCUAAAUCAUAAGAUGUAUUUUGACUUUUUUUCCCUCUUUCGAAUCAGAUAUAGUAGAAACGUUAUGGAUGUAAAUAUUGAUUACAUACAUUUAUUUCGCAAUAUUUAGAGCUCUACCCCACUUUUAGAUUCUGCGAAGGCCCUCGGGCAUUCUUGAAGUCUCACGUCCCCUGUUCAGCUUAUAUCAGCUCGGUACCUUAACCAGAUCGAAACGUUCUUGGGUUCUCGUUAUCUUGUCCCCGACUUUUCCCCCUUAUUUCGCCAUUUUUCUUUGCUAAUUUAUCUUUAUGUAUAGCUUCACUUCAUCGUCAAAUUCAUCAACAUAAGCAAAACUAAUCAACUACCCACCGCACGAUCUUCUUCUUCAUUUUAAUCCAAGUUAUUGAUAAAUGGGGUCGAUCCACUAUAAUUAGUUCGGAGAAAAUUAUGCUUCGAAUUCACUGCUCUUUGCAUAAAAGCCCUGUUAAAAAGACACCAAACCCUAGACGGUAACUAAAAAUCAAAAAAGAAAGAAGAAAGAUAUGGUAUUAAUUAGCAGACAAGAGAUUCACGACGAUCGAUAUUAACAGAGAAAGAUCAAUCUUGAAAAAGAGGGGGAUCAUCAGUGACCCAUUUGACCAACCCAAGUUAUGCAGAACAUGACAUCGAUCUUUAUUAACGAGGGAUUCAAUGAGAGAGAGAAUUGCUAGUUGAUAAAGAAAAAGAAAAAGGAAAACGGGGGUUUUACUGAGUGGGGGGAGCUCACACGUGCGCGGGGCUGGAGGAGGAGGGGGCAAUCCGGCACGUGCGAGGCGGAGACGCGGGGGAAGGUGAGGAAGCUGACGUGAGGUCGCCUGAGCCUGGCCAUCCUCUUCCUCCGCCGGACCGCCCCGAAGGUGGCCAAGGCCGCGACCAGGUCUGGCCCGUCGCGGAGCGACCCGGCAUUGUGGGUGUCGCCCGCCUUCUUCUUGAGCCCGCCAUCCUCAUCGUGAUCCACCACCACCAUCAUCAUUUUUUUCCUAGGCGAGCGAGUGGGUGGUCGGGGCUUCUGGGUUUCAGUGUAAAAAGGGAGAGAGAAAGGACUGAGACUUUGUUGCAGAUGGAGGAGCUACAGGUGGUGAUGGUGGUGGUGAGGUGGGUGUUAUAAAGAGGCCGAAGGAGAAAAUAUCGAUAAUCUUUCUCUGCUCUCUACUUUCUCUCUCUACGUGAUGAGAGGUGGGUGUUCUUUACAUUUCCGUUUUAGGGCUUUCUUCUUUUCACUCUUCUUUUUUGGGACUUUUAUGUGCACUGUUGACUACACAGCGAGGCCGUGGUGACAAGUGUGCAUGCUGCGUUCAGGCCAUCGUGGGGUUUCAUUUUUCGUUUUCUUUUUCUCUAUUUCUUUGCGGAAGCUAGGGUUUGGUUUUUGGAGAGCAGAGGAGGGGGUGAGGGAGUGUGGAGACAGGUGGGCGACGUGCAUUCAUUCAUGGAGGGUUGGCUUUAGAUCUUUUUUUCCCUGUUUGGUUUCACAGCGACACACAUGAAUGUUCAUGCGCAUAAAGACAUGUGAUGCGCAGAGUUAGAAAAGAGAAACGUAAACUCGAGAGAGUGGUGAUGACUGACGAGGGGUUGAACUGGGGUUGGGUUUGGGUUGGAGUUCAGCGGUUAGCGUUGAGAAACGGGAAGAAAAACAAUGGGGGCUAGAGAGAGNNNNNNNNNNNNNNNNNNNNNNNNNNNNNNNNNNNNNNNNNNNNNNNNNNNNNNNNNNNNNNNNNNNNNNNNNNNNNNNNNNNNNNNNNNNNNNNNNNNNNNNNNNNNNNNNNNNNNNNNNNNNNNNNNNNNNNNNNNNNNNNNNNNNNNNNNNNNNNNNNNNNNNNNNNNNNNNNNNNNNNNNNNNNNNNNNNNNNNNNNNNNNNNNNNNNNNNNNNNNNNNNNNNNNNNNNNNNNNNNNNNNNNNNNNNNNNNNNNNNNNNNNNNNNNNNNNNNNNNNNNNNNNNNNNNNNNNNNNNNNNNNNNNNNNNNNNNNNNNNNNNNNNNNNNNNNNNNNNNNNNNNNNNNNNNNNNNNNNNNNNNNNNNNNNNNNNNNNNNNNNNNNNNNNNNNNNNNNNNNNNNNNNNNNNNNNNNNNNNNNNNNNNNNNNNNNNNNNNNNNNNNNNNNNNNNNNNNNNNNNNNNNNNNNNNNNNNNNNNNNNNNNNNNNNNNNNNNNNNNNNNNNNNNNNNNNNNNNNNNNNNNNNNNNNNNNNNNNNNNNNNNNNNNNNNNNNNNNNNNNNNNNNNNNNNNNNNNNNNNNNNNNNNNNNNNNNNNNNNNNNNNNNNNNNNNNNNNNNUAAAUAUAUAUAUAUAUAUAUAUAUAUAUAUAUAUAUAUAUGUAUAUAUAUAUAUUACUUGAAACUUCCGCAAAAUGAAGUAUCUCCCUCGGCUCAAAUUGUUUUAGAACUCUAUUAUCAGAGCCGUUGAGUUUUAAUACAUAAAACUAUAUGAUUCGAUUCAGAGGUUUGAAAAAUAACUAUUAUGUAUUGGGGGGGAGCAUUAUGUAUAUUUUAUUAGUUUAUCUUAUAAAUAUAAAAACUUAUUAUGAAAGUAUAAUUGAGCCUCGAAACUUUCAGAUAUUAUAAGGGAGUCUAACAACUUAUCAUAUUGAUGUAGAGAAAACAACUCCGUCCGACUCGAUAAAGUGAAAAUUCGAUAUACUUUUUUUAUUAUAUUUUCUCUCUUUUAGGUAAGCAAAGUAAAAGAUGCUGAAUGCAAACCGCCAAGCUCGGUGUCAAACCAUUCAAAGUCUUUCCUUGAGAAACAGAAACCAUACGACAAGCAAAUAACACGGAAGACAAACCAUAUUCAAGAAAGUGGGAAAAAUUCCUCACAUUUUUAUGGCCUAAAGUUUUAGGCUGCAGCUCUGUCGCCCCUAUUUCCGCGGGGCAAGGUCUAGCUUGCACUCUCCUUAUCACGCGGUGGUGGCAAUCAAAAGAAUAAAGAUGACUUAACUUUUCGUCGCCUGUAGUGUUAAGGACGGUCUAGCGACAAAGGAACAAUCUGGUUUUUGGCAAGACAAAUUGGGUUUAUGAAUUACAGUUGUUAGAGCUCUUUCAAUCUACAACUCCUUUUAAGUAGCCACAACAUAAAAGUAUCGCUUUAGCACUUGGUGAGAUAAUCGAACGGUGGAUAAGGAGAUAAGGGUACUUCAAGUAUCAUAACUUUCAUAUGGUAUUCAUUUAAAUGUCAUAACUUAUUUUUCGACCAUUUAAGUACAAUAACUUCUAAAAAAAACAUUUAUUUGAAUGCCACAACUUUCAAUUCUUCACUUAAGUUCCAAUUUUGUUUUAAAAUAUUCACCCAAAUGCCGGAAAUCCGAUGUUGCACGGCACUUGUGGUGAAUAUUUUUUGAAGUUGUGGCAUUUAAAUAAUUAAUUGAAAAUUUGAAUGAUACUCAAGUUAUUUAAAAAAAUAAAUUAUGACACUCAAAUGAACACCGUACAUAAAUUAUGUCACUCAAAUGAUUUGAAAAAAUAAAAAAGUUAUGGUAUUCAAGUAAGCACCUUAAAAAAGAUAGCAUAUGUGAUGUCAUUUCCCCCAAUAUAAAUAGCUCCACUUAUUAAAACUUUAAAGGUGAAUAUUAAUGGGGCUUUGUUUUAAUGAUGAUCACGUAUAGAAGAUAGAUAAAAGAAGAGAAGACGGACAUUCAAUAAUUAACGUGGUUUAGACAACCAAGAGAAUAGUCCCCUUUCAUCCAUAGUAGUAAAUCCCCAAUUCAUCUUAUUUUCUUUGGGGAGAAUUCAUUAUACUUUAAUAGCAAUUUAAUGAGUUGCAAUCAUUAACUUGGUAAUUAUAGCUAUCACACAACCCAACCAAAUCUCCAGCCAUAUUGAAAUUAGGACGAUUUGACGUCCUCGUUGUCCCAACACCCUCCCCCCCCCCCCCCCAAAAAAAAAAAAACUGGAGCAAAAACGUCAUCGAAAGUCAAUUUGGAUGCCAUGCGUUGGAAAACACCUUUAGAGGGAGCCUUAGUGAACGCGUCUGCAAGUUGGUUAUCAUUCAGACUUAGGAAAUUUCAAUUAUCUUAGUCUUGAACCACAAAUAAAGUGACAAUCGACUUAUAUAUGUUUCGUUCAUUCAUAAAAAAUUGGAUUUGAAGCAAUAUAGAUUGUGGCGAUUAUCAGAAAAUAACUUUAUGGAACACUUAGAGGUUCCAAACCUCAAUUCUUGCACAAACAAUCGAAGGCAAACCAUUUCACUAGUAGUUGAGUUCAUGGCUCUGUAUUUAGCCUUUGCAUUGGACCUUGCCACGAUAGUCUGUUUUUUUACUUUUACAAGUGACUAAGUUGCUGCCAACAAAGGUGCAGAAGCCUGUAGUUGAUUUUUGUUCGUAGGACUCCUAGCUCAAUCCGCAUCAAUUUACCCUGAAAUACCAAUAUGACCAUUUCUUCAUUAAAAUACCCUGACCUGCACUAGACUUUAGGUACCAAAGUCUGUAAUCCACAAGUGCCAUGUGUCCUUCAGUAGGAGCAUGUAUGAAUUGGCUUACAUAACUGACGCCGGAUGGCAUAAGCAAUACAUGGACGGUUAAUGGUUAAGUAAAUCAAUUGUCCAACCAACCUUUGAAAUCGACCACUACCAAAACAGCUCUAAGUUUCUCAAUCUCUUUUAACAAGUCAAGAUUAAAUUUCCUUUGAAAUACAAAUAAUAAUUUACUAGAGCAAGCCACCUCUAUACCAAGAAAGUAGCGCAGGUGUCCCAAAUCCUUGAUGUCAAACUUCACAUUCAAGUGCCCCCUAAGAGCCUCGCUUUCAUGAAGAUUAUCACUGGUAAUAACUAUAUCAUCCACGUAGACAAGAAGAGUCACCGUCCCUUUGGCACUCUGCUUCACAAACAAGGAGGCAUUCGAAUCACAUUGUUUGAAUCCCACACUUUCAAGAGCGGAACUUAAUUUCCAUAUCAAGCAUGUGGCGACUAUUUGAGAUUACACAUUACUUUAUUAAGCUUGCAUACUACAUUAGGUUGAGUAUUCAUGUAAACUUUUUAUUCCAGUUCUAUGGAACACAUUUUUAACAUUCAUUUGAAAGAGUGGUGAAUUAUAAUUUGCAAUUAUAGAUAUCAAAACCGUUACUAUGUUCAUUUGUGCUAUGGGAGCAAACAUAUUUUUAUAGUCUUCACCAUAUGUUUGAGUGUAGCCCUUGGCAAUAAGUCUCGCCUUAUAAUGCUCAAUAGAACCUCCACUCUUGUAUUUAAUUUUAUACACCCAUCUGCAACCAACAGAACGCUUUCCUUUGGGUAAGGUAAUGAUAUUAAAGUGCGAAAUUUUAUCAAGUACUUCUAGCUCUUCUUUCAUAACAUCUCACGACACUUGACAACCUUGGCUUGGAGAAAGAUAGUAGAUUCUUUAUGAGCAUCCACAGCUGAUAAAAAACCAUGGAAGGCAAGCGAAAUUUUAUUGUAGCAAAUAUGAUCCUGUACAGGAAAUCGAACAAGUAAUAAGUGGUGAAGUCAUGAAGUCUGGUAGAUUGUUGUAUCCUAGUGGUCCUAUGGAUAGGAGUUGAAGCAGCGGAAGCAGGUGUAAGAUAUUUUAUCUCAACAAUUUCAUCCACUUGCUCUGGAUUAAGAACAGGAUCAUUGAUGUGAUCAUUCAUAAUCAGCAAGGGAGCAACUUCAACAUCGAACCCAUUAUCGUCUAAGUUAGUACCACUAUUCUCCCCCUAAAAGUGUUCUUUGCUUGAAAAAAACAUGCAAGUCUCAUCGAAGAUAACAUUAUGGAUGAUAAAACCUUCUUAGUCGAUGGAUUGAAAUAUUUGUAUCCCUUCUUGACUUUGGAGUAACCAAUAAAACACAUUUGGGAGCAUGAGAAUCAAGUUUUCCCACAAGAGAGUAAACAAAACAAACACUUCCAAAUAUUCAUGGAUGUGGAAUAUCCACAGGUUGCCUAAUAAGUGCCCCCAUUGGAUACGUGUAUCAUAAGAUCCUACUGGGAAGACAAUUAAUCAAGUAACAACUAGCGAUCACGGCAUCUAACCAAUAUGUAUAGGGAAAGUUACCAUGAAAUAACAGAGUUCUUGUCAUUUUAAGUAAGUAACAAUUAUUCCAUUUAGCUACCUCAUUUUGUUGAGAGGUGCCAACACGGGAGGUUGGAUGAACAAUUCCCAAAGACUUAAGAAAUGACUAAAAAAAUGGUUUGUUUAUUCAAUUCCAUUAUCAGUUCAAAGAAUCUUGAUAUGAUGACCAUAUCAAGUGUGAACCAUAUUACAAAAUUCUUGGAACACUUUCAACACUUCACUCUUAAAGGCCAACAAAGAAAGCCAAGUGGUGCCGGACUUAUUAUGAAUAAAAGUAACAAAAUAUCUAAGACCAUCACGAGAGUCCACAGGAGCAUUACUCCAAACAACACAGUAUUAAUUUAGAUGGUUCCUGUGAAACCAAGGAAUUAGUAAAUUGAACUAGAUUCUUAGAAUCUAAAAUGGAAGGUUUUAUGCAAUCGGAUUGGAUAACAUGCUGUAGUUGAAGAGCGAGUUUACCCAGAGAGGUUUGGAAGUAAGAUGUCGAGCCUUGAGUUUGAGCUACAACCUUGGCAUCACCCCUUUAUCCUUAUUAGGACGAAGAUGAAGAUACAGUUCCCAAUAACGAUCCUUAAUGUGAUCGUCCUUCUCAUAAUAAUCACAAUGAAAAUUAUUACCGCGGCCUUUGCAUUUACCUUUACCCGAACCAAAACUACCCCCAUCAGAACCAGAGUAACCGCUAUAACUAGUUUUAGCAACAUGGGCAGACCUCUCAACCGAAUUUCCCCCUUUCUUGGAAUCAGAAGGCAUCACGCGACAACGAGUUUUCUCCCUUUUAACCAUAGCACAAACAAUAGCAAAGUUGGGAAGAGUGGAAUUCGUUAGAAUCUGUCUCUUAAGGUCUUCACAUUCAAGUCUAAGAUGGACCAGAAGUUGUAAUAUCUUGUCCUUCUCUUCACGUUGGGCAUGAAUCUCAACCGUAUGAGCUGGUGGUCAAUACUGUCACGGUUCAUCCCACUUCUUUUUUAGAUUACCAAGAUGUUUGGUGAAUGUUUGAUUAGGCGCUUGGUCAUAUGAGCAAGCUCCUGUUGCAACUCAAAUACACGGGAUGCAUUAUCAAGUUUGCCGUACAUAUCCUGCAAAGAAUCCUACAGGGACUUGCAGUCUCUAAAUAAGCAAAUAUCUUAAAGAUUUGAGACUCUAUUGAGUUAAACAACCAAGACAUGACCAUAUCCUCAUUUGCCUACAAUUCAAGGAAUUUUGCAUUUGUAGAUGCAGGUGCUCUGACAAGACCAUUCGCAUGACUCAAUUUCAAUCUGCCCCAAGAACUAUAGAGACAACUUUAGACCAGGGCAAAUAAUUACGCCUAUUUGACAUAGUAAUUGUAAGUUUAUUGGACCACUAUGAAACAGAUUUAUUGUUAUCAGCCAUAGUGUUAGAUAGAAAAAGAGCACAAAAUUCUGUAAACUUAUCUGAGACCAAUCGAAUCUAAUGACAGAUUGUCGUUUGCGCAAACCAAAAACACCAUAGCAAAAAUAGAUCCAUAAAUAGGAGAACAUGUCAUAGGCUGUAAGAAACUCCAAAACAGAUUAGUCCAAAGAAUAAGAUUGCAAGAACAAUUCUCAAUAGGCUGCUGGUCGUCCAUUAUUGUAACAACAAUACUCGGAUUCUCAAUCACCAAUAGGACAAGCGGAAACAUUGACAAUGGAGCCGACCUUAAGAUUGUGUUUCACUCUGAUACUGUGUUUAAUGAUGAUCAUGUAUAGAAGAGAGAUAAAAGAAGAGAAGAGGGACACUCAAUAGUUAACGCAGGUCAGACGACUAAGAGUACAAUCCCUUGAAGCAUAUCCAUGGUGGUACUCCCUAUUACAUCUUAUUUUCUUUGGGAAUGAUUCAUUAACCUUUAAUAGAGAGCAAUACAAUGAGUCACAAUCAUUAAUUUGGCAACUACAGAAAUUGCAUAAUGCAACUAGAUCUCUUAUUAUAUGGAGAUUAGGAUGAUCUAGUAUCCUCAUCAUUCCAUUAGGCUCGUUUUGAGAGAAGCUUCACUAGGGGCCAGGGCCAUUGGGGUUAUCUGUAAAGACAAUCGUGGCAUUCUCGUGGACGGAUUCGUGAUGACAAUAACUGGUUCUUCAGCUACUAUGAUUGAAACCCUAGCUUUCAUCGAAAUGCUUUAUACCUUGAAGUAUAUAACAGAUAAAAGAGAUCGUGGGAAUAUGUUUCUUUCAUAUUUUAUACUCUUUUUAUUUUUUCCUUUUCUUCAUUUUAAACUUUGAAGAUUUUUUUAAUGUAACACUCGACAAGCGCCACAUUGGUGCUACAUGUCCUGAAAAGUAAUAAAAAGUGAUGUUGACGUUUUCCUUUAGCUAGAUUGGACAACGUUAAUCAAAAGAAUAAACUGCAUCAACUUUAGAAGUCUUAAAAUUCGAUUAUACCAUUUAAAAUUUUUAAAAUUCAAUCACACUUUUGCAACAAGUAUUAAGACUUCUGAUGUACUUAUUUCCUUAAUAAUGUUGUAAAGUUCUGUUUCUGGGCAUUUGAUUACUUGGUUGGUAAAGGGGCGGUAGAUAAGGAGCUGAAGCAAAAAAGUCGACUUGUGUAAAUUCUGGAUAUUUCAAAUUAGCCGAUCUCUCUCUGUCUCGUUCUCUCUCUCUAAAUUUGAUUCUUGAGCGAGACCCACGUUUUCAACAAAAUUGUCGUUUAAAUAGGAAUUGCGAUUUGGAACAUUCCAAGCCACCUAAAUGCCACGCACGGGUCCUUCAGUUGGGGAAAUCAACUUUUUUUAUGCUCAACUUUGCUUCCCUUGGAAGAUGACAAGUACCAAACGUCUGAAUAAGUAACAGCAAAAGCAUACCACAGAGUUUGACAUACACUUUUUAUUUCUUAUUGCAAGCUACAUAGAUAAGCAUAUAUAUAUAUAAUAUAUGGAUUCAAAAGAUCAGUGCAAAAAAAGGAAAAAGGUUUCCAAUCUUGGCCAAAGCAUGUCACCCCCACUCAACAUUUUUCAAGAUCUAGCGAAAGUCGGCUUUAAUUCGGCUAAACCAAGAUCGUGAACCUACCAAAAGUCAUCAAGGCACAAGUUCUCGACAGAACCGAAGCUUUCCGGUGGGGAAAUCCUGGCAUAGGUGGUCAUAGAUCCGCCCAAAAAAUCCAGGGGAGAGUCAUUCGAGAAGCUGGUGUCAUAGACAAAUGACAUCUCUGCAUCUUGAUCGAUUGCAGGGUAACUCUCAUCGAAGGAGCUGAUGUUAUUAUUCAUCUCAUAGUGGUCUUGAAGAGCCAAGUCGCUGAUGGUGCUCUGAGCAAUAUCCGUAUAAACAUCUUCUUCAGAAGCUUUUUUGGCCUGAAUCACCUAUCAAAAUGUAGAUAUUUAUAUGAAUCCCUGUUGUCAAUGAUCAGAAUAGCUAUGAAUUCGGAAAUUUUCUCAAGCUCAUUCAUCUAUUAGCAUUGGUGUGUACCAUAACAUUUAGCUUACAUAAUUGUGAUUUUGACAAUCUUCGUACACCAUGAUGAAGUCUCCAAGUUGUAACCCAUGAGUGGUGACAAAAUUCCCUAGGACAUAAUAAAGACCAUAUAAGUUCCUAUUGAAUAUCAGGAGAGUGAAAGAUAAAAUAGUCGAAAAGUGAAUCUUGAUCAACUAAACAAUGAUGUGCAUACCCGUGUUCUCGAGGACAUACAUCCGACUGUUGUUAUUAGGCCAAAAUCUGGAAAGAAAGAUGUCGAUUCAGCAAAUGUCACUACAUUAAAAAAGAAAAGCAAUGAAAAAACACAUUGUUCCAUCUUAAUUAUACUAGGCCAAAACUAUCCUAGAUAAGCUAAUUGGUUACUAUAGGCAUGGCCAAUGUGCAACCGUUAUAAUUUAAAUUAAUAUAGAGUUAUACUUGAACCUGUAUUUGAAAUUCCAUGUGUGCUGACCGUCCAAAUCGUACAUGUUUACAAAAAUGCCCUCCUUGGAUUCGAGCAUGGGAAGAUGAGUCUCUGCCGCUUUCUGAAAUAAUGUGUGUAGUCACCAAUUUAAAAUAGUUGGCAAUAAUUACUAAUUGUUAACAUUAGCUAUCGGCCUCAAGUUAAAAUCUUCAUAUGGUAACGACUAACAAAGUUAUUUAGAUGUAGACAUAAGCAUAUACCUUUGGGAGUACCAUUCUUCUCAAGGAGCUCACAUCACUGUUCUUCAGUUCCUUUUGGAAGAGGAAUCUCAGUCUCCGUGGAUCGAUUUCCUAUAAUUAAAUUUCAGUCAUCGAAAUUAUUGCGAUGUUAUUACAAAGAGGAUACUCAUAACACGUAUCAAUGCUUGCAGCAAAUUGAAGUAAAGAACAUAAUUCAUCAUUCAAGCAAGCUAAGGAUAUCCAUCAUGGGAAAAAAAAAAAAUCUACUACCAAGCUAAUUGACAAAUCAGUGUCCGAGCAUAGACUAAUACCAACAAGAGAACUUACUACAUUACGAGUUGUCACCAAAAUGACAUACGUGAUGCUUUUCCCGAUCCAAACAAGUACUGGAUAUGGUGAACUCAAAACACCUAAACCGGCUUUUGUACAGAAGAUCCAUUGCCGUCCCCAGUUAUCCAUCACGAAAGUUAAUGCUAGCUGUUAAACGGAACGAGCUAAUAAACAGAAAAAGAAAAGUGGUUCUAAAUCUGACCGACCGUCUCCGAGUCUCCAAAUGAAGUCAUUCACGAAACUUCUCUAGAUAUACAUAUAAUCUCUAUUAUUUAUUGAAAUGGCAAUACAUUCUCUUACAGCCCAUGGAGUCAUCAUAUUGGAUAGAAAAUCUAGUAAAUCUCAUAGACGAAGAUUGGACUAAAUGAGACCUAGAGAUAUUAAUGCCAAGCCCGCCCUCGGGACAUUAUUGAAAUCUCAUGUCCCUUGUUCUGCUUUUCAUAUCUUGGUACCUUAAAUUAGAUCAAAAUGUUCUUCGGUUCUCUUAACUUUUUUCCGCGACUUUUCCCCCCUUCACUUGCUAUCGCCGAAAAUUAUAAGCUUCAUAUUUUCCUUCGCUAAUUUAUCUACAUAUAUAGAUAGCUUCACUCGAUCGUCAAAUUCAUCGACAGAAACAAAGAUAAUCAAUUAUUCACCGCACGAUUUCCUUUCUCUAUUUUCUUUUUUGUUGCAAAUAAUUAUUUUUAUAAUUAUAUGGGGUUGAUCCACUAUAUGUCCAGAGAAAUUAUGCUACGAGUUUACUUCUUCUUUUUUGCAGAUAUGAACCCAAUGCUUAGUUUAUUAAAUUAACGGACAAGAUAUUUGUGACGAUCUAAAUAGUAUCAGCGAAAGAUCGGUCUUGAAAAUGAGAGGAUCGUCAGUGACCCAUUUGACCAACCCAAAUUACGCGGAAGACGACAUAGAUCUUCAUUAACGAGCGAUUAAAUGAAGAAGAGAACCAGUAAUAACUACAGAAAAGAAAAAGAAAAAUAAAAAGAGGGGGGAUUAUAUCGAAACGAGGGGGCUCACACGUGCGUGGGGCUCGGGGAGGAGGGGGCAAUGCGGCACGUGCGAGGCGGAGGCGCGAGGGAAGGUGAGGAAGCUGACGUGAGGCCGCCUGAGCCUGGCCAUCCUCUUCCUCCUCUGGACCGCCCCGAGGGUGGCCACGGCCGAGACCAGGUCCGACCGGUCGCGACCCGACCCGGCAUUGUGGCCAUCGCCCGCCUUCUUCUUGAGCCCACGAUCCUCAUCGUGAUCCGCCACCAUCAUCAUUUUUUCCUCGGCGAGUGAGUGUGUGGUGGCCGUGGCUUCUGGGUUUCAGUGUAAAGGGGAGUGGGGGAGAGAGACAAGGGGGGACUGAGAAUUUGUUGCAGAUGGAGGAGCUACAGGUGGUGGUGGUGGUGGUGAGGUGGGUGUUAAGAAGAGGCCGAAGUCUAAAAAUCUGUCUCCCUCCCUCUCUCUCUCUCUCUCUCUCUCUCUCUCUCUCUCUCUCUCUCUCGUCUCUCUCUGCUCUCUACUUUCUCUCUCUAUGCGAUGAGUGGUGGGUUCUCUUUAUAGGCUUUUCUUUUUCCUCUCUCUUUUUUGUUUUGAACUUCCAUGUGCGUUGUUGAUUACACAGCGAGGCCAUGGCGACAUGUGUGCCUGCUGCAUUCAGGCUAAUGUGGGUUCAUCGUGGUUAGUGCGAUAAUCGGGUACUCAUUACUACUAUCUUCUUUUGUUUUGUUUUCUUUGUUUGGCUUGUUUUUUGGGAAGCUAGGGUUUGGUUGGCGAGUGCAAGAGUGGGCGAGGGAGUGGAGACAGGUGGGCUAUGCGCAUUCAUUCAUGGAGGGUUGCAUUUACAUCUUCUUUCUAGGGUUCACAGCGACACUCAUGGAUGUCUAUGGUGCAUAAAGACAUGUGAUGGAUCGUGAUAAAAGGAGCGCAAACUCGAGAGGAUGGUUGAACUGGGGUUGGGUUUGGGUUGGAGUUCAGCGGUUAGCAUUGAGAAACGGGAACAGAAACAAUGGGGGUUAGAGAGAGAGAGAGAGAGAGAGAGGAAGGGGUGGUGAGGUGGUGGAAGAAGGAGCGGAAGUGGUUGGGGUUUGGCCAAGAGGAGGAGGACGAAUGGAGUACGUUAGGGCUCCAGGUGUCGCAAAAGUUCUGCGUUUUCCUUCGGUUUUUCCCCUCUCUUUUCACUUUUUCCCUCUCUUUCUUUGGUUUCAGUUGUUGCUUCACCACCAACCCAGAAAUCAAUGGCAUCUGUCUCUCUCUCUCCCUCUCUCUCUCUCUCUCUCUCUCUCUCUUCAAGAUUCGAUAUGGCGGAUAUUUCUUCUGCACCUGGAAACUCAGAGACCACAUGGUGCUUUCUGUGCUCGUUGACAUGAGUUGCCAUCAUUUGCUGCGGAGGGUUUUGAGUUCAACGUGGGGAUGAUAAAACAUAAGUGUUCUAAUGUUUACUCAUAAUACGGACGAUGAUGUUGCAUCAACUGUAUAAUGUUUGUAAUUGCCUCAGGUCUACUUUCUUAAUCAUAUGCCGAAAAUAUCUUGCUUCUUUUUCCAAAUUUCACGAAAAGUACUCUACACUUUCGCAAAGAUUACAAAGAUGAUUAAUCUGCCUGGAUCAAUUGGUAAUAUAUAUUUAAUUGUAAAAGCCACUUAAUUUUGAAAGAUAAAGAGGAUAUACCUCGCUUUUCAUAAAUAAUUAUCAUGUGUAGGGUGUGAGCAAUAUUAUAUGUUUAAUUAGAUUAUCUUAUACAAUAAUGAUAUUGUACAGUUUUUUCUUCUGGACAUUUGAUUAUUUGUAAAUGGAGUGUAAAUAUGGAGUUGAACAAAAAAGUGAAGUGAGUAAAUUCUGGAUACUUCAAAAGUGGUGGGCUAUUUCCACCCCUAUGUGAUCAAAUCCAUUCCUCUUUUACUAGAUAGGCAAAAACCAGCUUUUAUGAUUUCCAUAUUUGCAUAGUUUCUUUUAACAUAGUUAUAUUCCUUUUAUGAUUUUCUGUCAAAUUAUAACUUAUUGUUAUUUAGAAAAUAAAAAUUAGCCUUUUCUUCAUCAUCACUCUUAUAACAACUCAUCUAUUCUUUAUCCCUCCUUCUCAAAACUCACUUUCGCAAAUUGAAUCAUUAAUUUCAUUAAUCUAAAAAGAUUAAGUUUCUCUAUUUACUGUAUCUAAGAAUUUGUGUUUUUUCAUUCCUAUUGGCAAGACUUUUCACAGAGUAUGUAAGAAAUUAUAAGACUAUUUAGAAAUACACUAAAACAUCAACAUGAAAAAAAGAUGCAUGUAGAGGUAUCUUGAUAUUUUUCGGUAAACUCUCCACAAAUGAUGCUAAUCAAUCAACGAUACAUAGCAUAUUACUGGCAUUUUAAUAAAAUCUUAUUUUAUGCUUUGAUUAAUUUCAUCUUUAAAAGUUUCACGCUGAGAUUGCAACUGCGAUCUUUGUCUUACUUUAAAAAGGGGUUUAUUUUUUAUUUUUUUUGCUUCACUUGAUCGUCCCAUUAUAUGUAUAUAUGUAAGAAAAAGGCAGCUGAUAAGAAAAAUUUUAAUGGUGAUAUGCAAAGCAAUAAAUGAAAAUUUAUGAACAUGUGACCGUGUUAAAUAGUUAGUUAUCCUUACCAAAAAAAAAAAGAGUUAGUCAUGUUAAAAUUUGUAUACAUUUUACUGGACAAUUAAUCAUAAAUCUGCUCGACUAUGUAGAAGUUUUCUACAAAUUUAUCUUCAACAAAGCUAAUUUCGACAAAAAUAAAGUAAAAGAAAAUAAACAUAAUGCCUCUAAAUUGUGACCGUACCUUGGAUACACCACCAAAAUGGCUUUUUACACAGCCUAAUGGGAUUAAAUGACUACAAUGCUCUUAUUGAAUAAGGAGAGUUUGAGGCUUUUCUUUGCAGGACCAAUCGCGUCAGUCCUACGGAAUACUUAAUCGCCGUAUCAGAAUCCAAAUCCCGAAACUCGGCAUUCAUUUUUCCCUCACCAACUUCCCCAUAUCAAAGCAGAAUCGUGUUUCAGAUGGAAUCCAAGCUGCAUAACCUAACAUCUGUCUAUUCUGGUUGGAACUCAGCAAGCUGAUCUCCUUCGUGGUAAGAGUCGUCUCAGUAAACGGACGGCAGUUCCGCAAUGAACUGCAGCAGCAGUUGUCGUGUCAUCGCCAUCUACCCUGCAAGGACAUCAUCAACGACGUACGCCAUGAUUCUUGCAGUAAGAGAUUCACGCUUGCGGAUGGGAGGGAAAAGCCCGUUCGGGGACCCUUUCCCUUGAAGGCACCGGGCGUGCAGAGGCCGCAUGUCCUUCUCCCAAAGAUCUCCGGUGCGCCACCGUGGAGAAAGGCGAGCCACCGCGCGUUGCAGGACCAUAAGCUUUAGAGGGAGAGAAGAAAGUGAAAAUGGCGGUUUCUCUUGAGCGGGGGAUGGUUUUCAAAAGCUUUUCCCGUUUUCCUUUGGUAAAUACGAGUCGGGCCAUUCCAAGCCACGUAAACGCCAUGCACGGGCUCUUCAUGGUCCCCGCUUGGUUGGAUUUUCACAAAAUACAAAAUACGAGAGAGAGAGAGAGAGAGAGAGAGAAUUAUGUUCGAAAGCUUUUAUAUAUGAAUUCUAUUGAAGAGCGCUCCGGAUACCUGUCAAACAUAUUUUUGUGAGCAAAUAUCGGAUUUUCAAAACAUUAGUUGUGCAUAUCAUAUAAUAAUCGGUAUAUUGAAGAUUGCGAUGUUUCUUUGUUUGGAUACUUAGUAAUAAGUGUCCUAAAUGCACUUUUAGAUAUAAUUCCGUAUGUUUGUAUUUUGUGUAUGCAUUUGAUUUCGCUCACAUAGAUUGAUAAGCCCUCAACUAGAGAUUUCAAUAUAAGUAACCCUCAAGGUUGGCUCGGCGCAAAUAAUUAGAGCGUCGAGGAUUUACCAUUUAAAAAUUAAAGUUUACCAUUCAACUUUCAUCAGCUACAUGUAAAUUGCUCUGGGUCAGAGUCUUUUGCAAAAUCAAAGGUCUCGGCUUAAUCAGUUUAUGAAAAUUAAAGGCUAGUCUAUAAGUGUCUAGAUAGUUCAAUCUCCACUCCUGUGUCCCUAGAUUAUAAAAAAAAGAAAAAAAGCAAAUCAAUUUAUGCGAGCAAAAAGUUGUAUAAUUAGGGCCGGUCUGUUUAUGCUUAUUUAAGGGGGGGAGGGGGAAGGAAAAAAAUAACAUUUCGCUUUCCCGUCAACAUUGAGACACAUUUUUAGAAAAAUAAUGGGAUGACCACUUCCAUCUAAAAAGGCAUGAUAUUCUUAAGAAAGGAGUUUUCUCAAUAGCGUAAUGUUUUCAAAACUCUUUUUUUUUCACUCUCUUUCCCUUUCUUUCCCGUUGGAUAAUAAUAGUGGCAUAAGAAAUCUUCAGAAUUUCUCUUAUUUUGGACAACUAGUCACAUUUGUGACAAUGGCUUCUUGAGAAGUUUCAAUAUUUGAAAGAAAUAUUAUCCAUUUUUUCAAUUAUUCUCAUGAUUACUUUAAUUUUUUUAUAUUAUUUGUAUCUUUAAGCAUGCAGUCAUCCACUUAGUUUAGUUUUAUUUCUGUUAAUAUCAUUUCAUUGUUUUUUAUCUGUGCUAAUAUAUUAAGCAAAGAAAAAAUAGUACUUUGACCGCCCCCCCCCCCCCAAAAAAAAAAGAAAAAGAAAACGUCCUAUUUUAACGAAUAUCUUCUUUUUCUUGCCCAGAUUGGCAUAUUUUAACAAUUAUAAAUCCAUGAGAAAAUGCAUAAGCUAAUAAUUCUAUUUAAUCACACCCACGUGUUUCAUAUCAAAGUUUGAAUUUCUUCUAUCCUAAAAAUUCAUUCUUGCAAAGAGUUUAAAUCUUGAAUUUUUUUUUCUUUUAUCUUUUCAUAUAAGGGAUAAAAGGCACCAAUAAUCUUUAAAUUUUUGCAAAAUAUGUAAUAAGAUCACUAAACUUUUUUUUAUGCAAUUGAGUUUUUGAACCAUGUUGCUAUUGUCUAUGAUAGUCCUUCCGUCAUGCACAUAGAUGGGAAUGAUGACGUGGCAGAUCAUGCCACCGCCACGACAUUACCAACUAGUUUAAUUGUUGAGAGAAAAUUCUAAAAAGGAGCUCAAAGUGCCCUCAUUUUCUCAAAUAAGGGUUCGAAGUGGACUUUAAUUCAAAUAAGGACCUGAAGUGCCAUCACUUUUUCAAAUAAGGACCUGAAGUGGAUCUUGUUUCAAAUAAAGGCCUGAUGUAGUUAUAUUUGUUUCAAAUAAGAGCUUGAAAUGGCUAUGUCGGUUUCAAAUAAAUGCCUGAUUUUUCAAUGGUCAAUAACAUUUUCAUCAUUUGCCAUUUCCCUUUUGUUCUUCCUUUUUUUCUUUUUUCUUUCCUUUUUUUUUUUUUUUUUGGUUCUUCUUCUUCCUCUUCGUCAAUGGUCGGCAAACCACCGGCGAUGCCCACAAAGGAUUGGGUGAGGGUCACCUUUGCCGGCGAGGGUCACCCAUGCUGGCCACAAGCGAGGGACAGCCUAACCUGGGUGAGGUGACCCUCGCCCUGGGGGAGGCCACCCCUUGCGUUCAUCUACGAGGCCGGCCCUUGCCAGAUCUGACAAGGAUGGCCUCGCCCGCGGUCGGCAAGGGCUUACAAGCCCUCACCAGCCCUUCCUAAUGGCCGAUGAUGGUCACCAAGCCCUCACCGACCAUUGCUAGUGCCCGCUGGCCGAUGUUGAAAAAGAAAAGAAAAUUUGGACGAAAACAUCCUUGACCAGUCGAAAAAUUUAGCCAGCUAGCGACCAACAAGGCCAAGCCCUUAUUUGAAAUAAUCAAUACCACUUCAGACCCUUAUUUGAAACAACCAAUAUCACUUUAAGUCUUUAUUUGAAACAAAAUUCACUUUAAACCCUUAGUCGAGAAAAUGAGAAUACUUCAGAUUCUUUUUUGAAAUUUUCCCAAUUGUUGAUGUGAAAUAAAAAAUGGGAAGAAAAUUAAGAUAAUAAAUGAGAAACUCUAGAGACCAAAAGAAAGGGAGAGAAAGAAAAGGAGAGAGAGCAAUAGAAAGACCGGCUACGUUCCACACUGAGCGUCCCACACCAAGGUUGGGUGAAUCGACGUAAUGGCCUUUGAGUCGAAUCAUUUUUUAUUUUUUUUGCCAAAAAAGAAGAAGAAGAAGAAGAAGAAGAAGAAGAAGAAGAAGAAGAAGAAGAAGAAGAAGAAGAAGAGGAGGGUCUUUUCAAUCGACCGGGUUAAGUAUGGAAUUUGGAAAUGCUGCUUCUUUGUUCCUUGUUUCUUAUGAACAUCGAAGUACCUAGAAUUCGAAAAUUGAUUUUGAGGUCAAGAAUUCGAAAAUUGAUUUUGAGGUCAAGAAUGGUAGAUCGUCAUGUCGAUGGGGAGGACUUGAAGAUCUACGUCCAAUUCUUGCUGGAAUUUCCUUUUGGAUUUUCUCAUCUCCCGCAUUUUGCACUUCAUCGAAUACAAAUGAGGGUCGUCGGGUAGUGUUGGCUGCAUAUAUGGGCUUGCUUAUGUUAGGGGAGGCGGUGGCGAGGGCGCCAUUGUUCGCAUGACUCCGACGAAAGGCUGAUGCCCCUCUCCGGCGCUUGGAUGACGGCAGCCGUCCUGGCCAUUAUGAGGAGGGCUUCCACCUAUGCUCGUUUCUCAAUUUUUACUUGGCACAAUUUAUUUUUUGUUUUGUUGAAAGAUUUCCUUUUUUUUUAUGUGGAAAAAUAUGUAAGUUUUUUCUAUUUAUUUAAAGGCUUUUUAUUGCCACAUGAGAUGUCACGUGGAUGCCAGCCAGGCAUCUAAUGGCAAACUAAUUGCCCCCUUCAACAUUUCCAAUCACUAUUUUAACGGAAGGCUCUUACAGAAAAAUAUAUAGUUUAAGGAACUAGUAGAUCCGAUCUACUUGUACCAAAAGAAAAGAAAUGGAACAUUCAAAAAAAAAAAAUUCAAAAACCUCUAAUGCCUAUAUCGCUUUCAUAUUUAGAUAUACUUUUUAUUUAUAUUGUGUACUUUUAUAAUUGCCCUCCACUAUUUUGACAAUUCAAGCCACACCAUGAAUUUAUAGGAGUUGUCAUUUCUCUUGUCCCGAUAGCUUUUGACAACCAAAUUGUUGGUCACUAGAGAUACAUUCCGGUAAGUUGCUGUAAUUUGGCCGCGACAUAAAUUCAUAGCAACCAAAUGUGGAAAUUCGAUCCCUACAUAGUUUUAUCAAAUGUUGGCCUUGUUGAUUUCAAAUUCUAGUCCCGUAAAACCUGUUUCAUACCGUUAAUUGUAGUAGAAUUUGCAAUCUCACAAUGCUCUGUUCGUCAAAUCUUUGGACAUUGAUCAUCCAAGUUCAUAAAUUGUUUCAUCACAUUGAAGUAGAAAUCCUUGACAACAUAUUUCUAGCCAUCACAAAUCGGAUCAUCAUUCCAAAAAGAGAUAAACAAAUGUCUAAGAUGAGAGUGUCACCAUCUCUCUUAUUGUCAAUGUCCAAUAUCAAGAUCUUAUUUACCCACGCCCAUGUUCAAGCCCAACCCCUGCCCCAGCCCCACCCAACUUCAACCCUAACUUCAUGUCCUAAUUCAACCUUAAACUCAAAUUCAUCUACUACUUCAACCCAAGCCUCAACUUCAACUUCACCCUGGAAUCUCGAGCCCUAUAUUCAAGCCCAGCCCCAAGCCCAGCCCUCACUCGAGACCUAAUUUCCUCCCAACUCAAUCCGAAGUGGAUAUUUCGUCUCCUAUUUCAACCAGAGUCUCAAUUUUAACCCCAACUUCAUCUACUAAUUCCACAUCAACAUUAUUUAUCAAUUCUCCCUCGACAUAAGCAUCCAAUGUAUCCAAUCCUAAUGCUAGACCCACCAGUUGAAACCCUGGAUCAUUGUUGUAAAAUUGCAUAGUCUCGUUCUUCGAGGUAUAACCAGGAAAUUUUAUAGCAUAGUUUUAGCAUAUACUCGUAAGAAUAGCAUAUACCUUGACUUUGGAACUUUAUAGCAUAAUUUUAGCAUAUACUCGUAAGCAUAGCAUAAUCUACAAACUCAUGCUUCAACCCCCAAGGUAGUUAUUUAACAAGACCCGAACAUGUCGCCUUUUCUCCAAAUUCCAUAAAGCCACUCACAUGUAGAAAGCAAUUGAGAAAUGGUGUUCCAUCUAUAAUAAAAUAGCAAUUCACCUGCCUAUAUUUCGUCCAUUGUUCAUACUCAUUACAAAUCGCUAGCUUCGGAUCACAGAACCCUACCGCAUGCACAUAAAUAAGAAGUUGCAAGUAGGCUUUCCAGUAUACUAGUGUCACGGGCCGAUCGAUUGGGAUCGUGACCGCGCGGCGACUCGGGCACUUUAGGAUCGGGAUAGAUCGCCAAAGCGCCUAAGCCAAGCCUUGCACCGUCGAACGCUCACUCGCUCGCCUUACCCGGAUCGUAGAGAGAGAAAGUAUCUAGAGAGAAGAGCUCUAGAUAGAAGACUUGCUUUGUAUUGCGGAAGUAGUGGAUGUUUACAAAUGAAGGAGGACACCCCUUUUAUAGUUGAGGGCCUCGGAUUACAACCUUUGAUCUAGAAUGCUAUCGGCGGACGAGAUCGCACUGCCUCAACUACCGACAUAAUGUCGUCUACCAACUACCGACAUAAAUAAAGGGAACAGACUCCCGUAGUAUGACUUAAUGACGGUGGUUCUUGCCCUUGCAAUGUUCGGGGAGAAGACUUGGUGGGAAUCCGAUUGACAGCAGGAAGUCCACGGGCGAGUUGGGGUCGACCUUGGGGAACCUCUCGGGUUGCCCAUUUCUAGGCCCGUGACAUUCUCCCCCACUAAUUCGAGCGACGUCCUCGUCGCUCUCAGCUCGGCGAGCAGCCUUGCGGGCUUUGGCACGAUCUUUCUUGUGCUUGUUUCUCUUCGCUCGGACACUCAUGAACGAAGGACCACAUCCUUCGAUGAUGAAGUCGGAUGCGCGUGGCGUGGUCUUUGGUUUGGACGGAGCACGCGGUGCACACUCAACCUCGGGGAAGAGUGCUUGGAUAGGCAUGGCGUGUGUUGGAGUCGGAUCCAACUUGGUCGGCGGCUUCACCUCGGACAGCUUGUUGAUGCGCAUGACAGCCUUCAAGCUCUUGUCGAGGCGUCGGAUUGACGCGAUGGUCUUGGUGUCGACCACCCCUUUGAUCAUGGGGAUCAUCGACGGGCACUUUUUGUCGAGGAUCAUCAUACACUUCGUCCUCAUGUCGAUCAUGGCUCCCACACUUUCGAAGAAUUGCAUUCCAAGUAUGAGAUCAUAAUCGUCAAGAGGGAUUACCUCGAACGACAUUCGUCCCUUCCAUCCGCCAAUCUUGACGUCCACGUCGGGUGUUGCUCCAACGCCAUGGAAGUCACCCGAGUUGAUGGGCUUGUAUGACCUCCCGGAUGGCUCCACGUGUAGACCCAAGACCUUUGCGACCUCAGUCGACAUGAACAUGUUGGAUGCGCCGGUGUCGACCAAAGCGUAAAGCGUUCGGCUGCCCACUUCGACCUCCACGAAGAACAUGUCGGUGUUUGAAGUAAUUCCUUCUUCUUUGGUCGGCGAUCGGGCCUGGAACGAGUUGAUCCUCUUCACAGCCCCUAUCCGGAUCUGCCGCUUGUCUUCUUUGGGCUCCUCCUUCUCUUCCUCGAUGGCAAGGAGGGUGUUGACACGGCCCCUUUGUUGGCACUUUUGGGUCCAGUGUGGACCUUUGCAAAUAAAGCAAGGAGAGGGCGGAGGUUGAUCGAACUUACUCGCGUAGUCGAUCGGUGGUCGACCUCUUUGGAAGGACGGCUUAGAGGUCCCUUCUCCCCACGGUUUGGCUCGGAUGUUUUGAUCGGGCGCGCCUCGGGGAGUGCCUCUCGUGUCGUCUUCGGGUCGAUCCGACCUCCAGUCUCUUGCUCGGUUGUUUCUCGGUUCAACUCUGGUGAGGUCGACGAGUGACUCGGCCAUGCUCAGCGCACGCGCAAGACUACUCAUGUCCCGCCGUUUCAGCUCAAGUUGUGCCCAUGGCUUGAGUCCAUCCAUGAAUGCUCCGAAAGCCUCCUCUUCGCUCAGGUUGCGAAUCUGGAGUUUGAGCUCCGUGAACUCCUUCACGUACUCGCGGACCGUACCUCUUUGCUCGAGGCGAUGGAGCUUGCUUCGGGCUUCUUGUUGAGCGAACUCGGGGAAGAAGUAGUCUCGGAACUCUCGCACGAAGUCGUCCCAUGUGCACAUGGGAUCAACACCUCGUCGAAUCUCAUCGCACCUAUUAUGCCACCACAGCAUCGCCAUAUCAGACAGGAACAUGGAAGCGGUUCGUACCUUGAUCGACUCAUCGUUUAUGUUGACGGCGCCGAAGUACUGCUCCAUGCUCCACACGAAGUUGUCCAGCUCUUGGGCGGACCGGUUGCCUUUGAACUCCUUUGGCUUCGGGACCUCAAUCUUGGUCACCGCUUGAGCAGGCACCGCACCAUUCGUGAUGCUAAGUUUGCAUAGGGCGAGCUCGGUCUUGAGCUCUUGGAUCUCCGCCUUCAUGGCUUCGACCUCUUCCCUACACGGGCUUACCUCCUCGAUUAUUUGGACGCGCUCGUUCAAACCAUCGAUCGAUGCUUCGAGAGCUUCGUCCUUGUCGAAUAGUGGAGCCGUGGCUUGGUUGAUGCCGGUCGUGAAGUCUUCACGGAGCGAGCCCUCAACCUCCAUGAUCCGGUCCCGCACGUCGUCAAGACCUUCCAUGAGUUCGAGCACAGCACUCCGAACCUUCCCGAUCUUCUCAUCGAACGUAGCCGCAGCGUCCACCGAGUGAUCUCUUUUCUUUGUCUUGCUGCGCGUGUCUAUGCCAGGCACAGUCUCUCCAACUAUAGCCGCAUCAUGGCUCGACAUUCUUUCAAACAGUUGGCGCUCUUCAAUCUCUCGAACGGAUCUCUCUUUAGCUCUGAUACCACUUGUCACGGGCCGAUCGAUUGGGAUCGUGACCGCGCGGCGACUCGGGCACUUUAGGAUCGGGAUAGAUCGCCAAAGCGCCUAAGCCAAGCCUUGCACCGUCGAACGCUCACUCGCUCGCCUUACCCGGAUCGUAGAGAGAGAAAGUAUCUAGAGAGAAGAGCUCUGGAUAGAAGACUUGCUUUGUAUUGCGGAAGUAGUGGAUGUUUACAAAUGAAGGAGGACACCCAUUUUAUAGUUGAGGGCCUCGGAUUACAACCUUUGAUCUAAAAUGCUAUCGGCGGACGAGAUCGCACCGCCUCAACUACCGACAUAAUGUCGUCUACCAACUACCGACAUAAAUAAAGGGAACAGACUCCCGUAGUAUGACUUAAUGACGGUGGUUCUUGCCCUUGCAAUGUUCGGGGAGAAGACUCGGUGGGAAUCUAAUUGACAGCAGGAAGUCCACGAGCGAGUUGGGGUCGACCUUGGGGAACCUCUCGGGUUGCCCAUUUCUAGGCCCAUGACACUAGACACUGAGUAGGUCAUCAAUAUCGUCGAUUCUCACAACAAAAACCCCAGCACCUUAUCACUGCCAGGAGACGGCCCAGAAUGUCGAUCCAAUCGACGAAUCGAACAUCGUGAACCUAAAAAUCAAGAUCUCGGUUAAACGGAGGCCUUUACUUCGAUAAAUCUUGGUCCCUCAAGCACGAGUUUAGUAAGGAGACAGAUUCGUCCUUUCACUAGAGGAAAGACCUUAAAACAAAACAAAAAACAAAAAAACCAUCCAUUUGCCCAUUUGCCCUAAUUUGAUCCUUUAGAGAGACAGAGUGCGGUACCAUACUAUUUUGAGCAAACUAGAGAGAUAUGUAUAACCACGUUAGAUCUGUUUGCUUAGGAGCGUGUAAAAGAAUCAAGAACCGCCUGAACUACCUGAAAUUGGACUAGACCGGAGCCGGCAGUUCCCAUGGGGGCCAAUUUGAUUCCUGGUUCUAAUUUAGUGGAACCGGUGAGUACCAAUUCGAUUUUUGAUUCUAGGCUUGGAACCACCUGCCCACCCACCCUAAUCGAACAAAUAUAUAUAUUUUAAAAAGAAAAAUUCAUUAUAAUUACUUAAUUAUUUUGUAAUUUUUUGAUCAAAUAUGUGUAUAUAUAUAUUUAUGGUUAUUGGACAUUACUGACUAAUUUUGUCUCUUGGGUGUGUAAUAAGAUUACCCCUCUACUUUUCUUUUUCAUUAUAAUAAUUCAUUUACUUAUUUUCUCAAUCAAAACAAAAUAAACAAAUGUAGAGGAAGGAGAGAACUGAUCGGAGCUGUUCAUAAGAGCCAAUGCCUCAUUUUAAAAGUAUAAUUAGGUAUUUCUUUAUCCUUCCUAUAAUUAAAUUAGAUUGACGUUGAAAAAAGAUAAAUCAAGUAAUUAAUGUUUUUACUUUUGUGAGGUUAGGACUUUUAAUGUGGAAUCUAAUUCUCCACUUAUUUCCAGCGUUAAGAAUUCUUAAGAUGACCAUCCUAUGACCUUUGAAUAAAUUAAGUUCUUAGCUAACGGGUAUUAUCUAUUCAUUUUGUCUUAUAAUUUUCAAUUCCUAAUCAAAGUAAAUGGCUCACAAUUCAACCUGCAAAUAAGGUCAAACAAACUUUGUAGGGAUUGGGGGCUGGUUUUAUAGACCCAUUUGGGAAUCGGACUGAACCGGCGAUUUCGUUUCCAGAUGAAUUCAUAGAACUAAUAAGCAUGUCUGGUUCCAAUUUUUUUAAAUCGGUUCUUUGAAUAAUUUUUUAUUUCAAAAUGAAAACUGUCCAUCCGAACCAUGUACACCCAUAUGUUUGCUUGAUAAGUCCAAGGAUGUUGCCAUGCCGAGGGAAUGGUGAUCGAAAUACUUUUAGAUCGCUAAUAUAAUUUCGGGAUAAUUUUUUAAACUUUUUUUGGAAUAUUUAUAAGACGGAAAAGUACGGGUAUUUCACGAGAAAAAAAUUGAGAAUGUUUUAUUUUUUAGAUUUCGUCCCAAAACAAUUACGACGUGCGGAAUAGCAUUGGUCCGUCGAUCCUCUUCUUAGCCCUAAAAAUCAAAAAACGUGCGCCAAGCGGUGGCCGGCGUCCGCACACAAAACCAGCACCACCGCCGCCGCCGCCACCAGUCUCGCUCAACUCCACUGCCGCCUUCUCCUCCUCCUCCACCUCGAAAUCUCUCCCCGACGCCGCCGCCCCUAGUUUUCAUGGCGAACACCGAGAACACCGAGAACCGCGAGGAAUUCGUUUACCCCGCGAAGCGCAAGCCCGAUCUCGCCCGCCCCGAACCCGAACCCGAACCCGAAGGCGAAGGCGAAGGCGAAGGCGAAGGAGGAGAUCGCUCCAGCAAGAGCCUCAAGCUCGAGCCUUUGGACAACCCCAACCACGCCGACGGCGGCGACGGGAACCACUCGGCGGAGGCCCCGGUUCGGGAGGAGAAACGGGCGGACGCGGUGGUCGAGGAGGAGGAAGAGGAGGAUGACGAUUUCGACGACGACGACGAUGACGACGACGACGACGACGACGACGACGACGAGGAUGAUGAUGAUGAGGAGGAGGAGGAUGGAGACGAUGAAGGCGACGAGGUGGAUGUGAAGGGGAAGGGGGUUAUGAAGGACGAUAAGGGGAAAGGCAAAUUGAUCGUCGAAGAAGGAGAAGAGGAGGGCAGCGGCGAUAGCAGCAGCGACGACUACGGCAAUGCCGGCGUCCGUUCGGAGAGCGACAGCGAUCUGUCCGACGAUCCGCUCGCCGAAGUCGACUUGGACAACAUCCUCCCGUCCAGGACUCGGCGGCGGACCGCCCGGCCCGGGGUUUUUAUCGCCAGGGACCGUAAGGACGGGGGAGACGACGAUCGGUCGUAGAGAUUCCGAAGGUUCAUUUAUAUUUGCUGGUUUCGAAGGUAGGGACUUCUAUUGAAUUGUUGUUGAUGCGAUCGAGGCUUUGAGGUUAGGAAUUAUAUUUGAUAGUUGUAGUUGAUUGGCAAAUGUGAUAUCGAGGAACCGGAACUUGGCAAUGCUGCUGGUGCAUUUUGUAUUGCGACAUGGUCUUUUCCUCGGGCCAAAUUUUGUCUGUCACAUGCCAUCGUUGGAAAUUACUUGGUUUUUUCUGGUAUCUGAUCACCUGAUAAGUAUGUUUAAGGUUGAAGUAAGGUCAUCUGGUUAAGGAAAGCUCGGUUUAUGAAACCGCUUAGCCGUUAAAUUGAUUGAAUUGACUAAGUAGUAGUGAAGGGCCGGUGUGGAGUGGACAACUACUUGCUUGUUUAGGCACCCGAAAAUUUCGCUAGUUGAUCUUUUCCGGAUACUUGGUGGCUGCUAUCAUAUCGGGAGGUCGGCAUGAAAGGAAAAUACUGAACCUGGCUGAAAAUUUUAAAUUGGGGUCCCCAAUUGCAAUGCACUUGGCAUUAAUUGGUUCCAGAUGAGUUUAUGCUUUGAGUUGAAAUCUCGAGAGCUUACAUUUGAUGAUAGGGUUGUAGAUGCGUUUAGGCUAUACUCGUGAAGCUAUUGCCAUGUUGGACCUUUAAUUCAGUUGCAGUUACUCGGGGUUAGAUAUUCGUCGUUUGGUUGAAUUGUCUGCAUUAAAUCUCCAUAGGAUUACGUAAAUUACAAGCAUAUGCUUUGAUGUUGCCCAGAUUUUGGAAAGAAGUUUACUUUCGUACUGAAAUUCCUCGAUGCUUGAAGCUGGGGGCUCCUUGUGCUAGUAGAGCCUGUAAUACAAGAUGCCAUGAGUGGCAUUCUAGUAGCCUGAACCUCGGUUGCUGGUGAGAUGACAAGAUUUUCACCUUAGAAGCUCCUAUUUCCUUCUUUUCCUUUUUGGUGAAUUUUGAGUGCUAUAGUGGUUUGGGAAGUAUGCAGUUGCUUUGACGAAGUAAAAUUUUGUGUUUCUUCAAAUUAUUUUGAGAUCAAGAGAAAAUACUAUACAUGUAUGGCAAUGUGCAUUGCCAUUAUCUCAGCUUGAGAAUGAUACCAUUUGUCAGAGUGUGUCUGGAACCUGAAAAAGCGUGGACGCAUGCAGUUACAACUUGCACAUUAAGAGCAGUCACUCGCCCUUGCAAGCAUGUGUGCUUGUCCACUAGUUUGUAACUGGUAACAUGUGGGAGGAAGUAUACUUAGGCCAGCUUGGUAAUCAGCCCUUUCUUUAAUGUUGGAUCAUCUGUAGUCAGUACAUUUAGGCCAGCUUGGUAAUUAGCCCUUUCUCUAGUCGGUGUAUUAUGUGGGAGGAAGUAUGUUUAGGCCAGCUUGGUAAUUGGCCCUUUCUCUAAUGUUGGAUCAUCUGCAAUCAGUAUAACUUAGCAAGUGCUCCUGCCGACCUUAGUUAUAUAGCAAAGUUUCCUAACUACCAUUGCUUUGAAGCUCCUUACUUGACUAUCUUCACCGGAGUGGAUUUGAUGAUGUGCCUGGUGCCAUUGCAUGCAAAUAUUGCCGGUUGCGCCUAGGCAUCAGACUAGUUAUUGGAAGCUUGAGCUCGUGAUCUAGUUUCUCUUGAAGCCUUAACUUUUGUCCUCAUAGUCUCCUUGAGAUUUUUUAUUAGGACUAGUGGGCAGCCUUUCUGGCAGUUGUAGAUAAUGGCAUAGAGCACAUAAAUCAUACUGGAUUGGAGCCUCUACAGUUUUCGUGAUUUCAUUCCCAAUGAGAAACAGAUAUGGUAAAAGUAGCCCUUCCUAUUGUUAUAACUGGAAGAAUUUGUGCUUCAUGCCUCUGUUUUCUUCACUCUGCUAUUUUUUGAACUACUAGUUUCAAAUUCAGCACCCUGAUAGUCCUCUCAUAUCUCCAGUGCUGCUGAUGAUCUAAGCCUAGUGGCCGAGAUACAGAUUCCAGUCGAAUCCUUGAUCAUUUCUUGGACUGUUCGUGCACGAGAGGAAAUCCACUGUGAGGCCAAAGUUCGCAGAGGUAAACAGCUUGGACAUUGAGAAUCCUGUCCUCGUCUCUGAGCCUCUAAGAUCCUCUAGCAUCAUUCCGUGUCGCAAAGUUUUUUGAAAUAUGCCUGUGUCAUUAUAACCUUCUUCCUCAGACACUAUUUCCUCCCUUUGGCACAUUUAGUGAUUUCCCUAGAGUUCUGCUAUAUCUCUGGCAGCAAAAAAUAUCCUCCCACUUUGGAGAUGGUAGUUUUGUUCUUGUUUGUUAUCUUUUGGGUAAACACCUGGCUGUUCGAACAGGCACUUCUAUCUAAAUGGGGGAUUUUCAACUCUGUUACACAUGGUGCCGACCGAUCCAUUCUCCGGGGAAAAGAUAAAAGGACACUCCUAUAUAUGGUAUGAUUAAGAUGAUCCUUUUGUCAUGCCUUUCAUGAUCAUACCCGAAGCACUCUACUGAGCCUUCUCAGCCUGGAAUCUCCAACUGAUCUCGUACAUUUUCAUAUCUUCGGGUCAUCCCAAUAGCCAUUCUUCUUACUGCACGGCUUGAUGACCGAGGCGAGGAGGAGCUUGUGAUGACUCGCUACAGAAGGUUACUGUAAGAACAUGGACAAGUCGAAAUGGCGUUUUUUCUUGGGGCCUUUGCGUUCCCUUGCAAACCAGUUUCUUGGACUUGAGGGAGGCCUCAACCCACCUCGGCCUCGACCCUGUUCAUGUCUGGGCUCUUAGAUUUGCUUGUGAUACGUUUUUACAUUCGAAGGUCUCGUACGCAAGAGAGUGCAGAUUAGAUCGUAAUGGAACAGUGAACGACAGUGGACACACACCCCAAGUUGUUGAGGCAUGGAUUCACUCUGACAAAACCACAUAUGUUGAACAUCAACAUGGUGGGCCUGCAACAUUUAUUCCUCCCCUCUUUAAUAAAGCGAGGAGGAGGAGAGGAGAGGAGGGGAGAGGAGGGAGGCUGACAUCAACGAACCCAAUCAUGUGGUCCUCUAUCUCUCUCUCUCUCUCUCUCCCCAUCUCGCUUUCGCUUUUUCGUCGUUUUAUUUUCAGGGUCGCCUGUGCUUGAUUGGAGACCACCAACGCCAGCACCACCACCAACGCCACCACCAGCAACAAGACGCCAAACCCUCUGCAGCUGUUGCUGCUGCAGUUGUCGUACCUUCCUCAUCUUCUGCUCGCCCUCGCCCUCGCCCUCUGCCUCUUUUGCUUUGCUUGCCCCCCCUUCCAUUCUUCCCCCCUUAGAACGAGUCGCUUUCGUGCUUUCCUUUUGGACGCUACGAGGACCACUCCAAAGAGUGUCGUAAAUUUGGACAUUCACGUUCGAUGUUUCACCUCAUCAAUGUCCGGAAGCGCCCCCCCUCCCCACAACUUUAUGUGUCCGAUGCCGAGGGCGGUUGGACCGCAGCGCAUGCGGCGCCGUGCGUUAUGAUGUCGCGUGGCUCUGGUGUUAUGUUAGUGUGUAUGGAUUCACUGCACCGUUUUCCUCGAGGUCCCCCGGCUUUAAAUCUGUUGGAAGAGGGCGUUCAUGGGCGCCCGGCAAAUGAGAUACCGUGUCGGUGUCAGGUCAUGCGAAGCCCUAAAUUCUGGCUCCCUCGCCUGUCCCCCGGCGAUGUCUUAUCGCUGCGGGAACCAGUGCUAUCGAUUCGGGGUUGGGACACGACGCGCUUUUUGGGAGAUGCUUACGGGAAAAAACUCUUAGCACUAUGCUAAUCACAUGACUGCAAAUGAUGGGAGAUUGCAUUCUCAAGUUGGAAAUGAUCAUGAACCCAUUAAAAGGAAUUUCUCUUUUUCUUUUUCUUUUUUCCCUCCUUUGCCUCUCUAUCGCUUUCAAUCAUCCCUUUUUCUUCUCUUCUGCUUGUAAUUAUAGGCAAGUGGGGCUAUAAUUGGAUUUGAUUAAUCUCCCUUUUGGCUUAACCACUCCCCUUUUAAAUGCAUCUUCCUCUCUCUCCAUUGGCUCAAGGCUUGUACCCAUUGCUUCAACUCACGUCAUUCCUUACCACGUAUUUCAGUUUUGCUUUAUUUUUUAAUUCAUUUUUUUAGCUUUUUUAAUUGUUUUGUGUGAUUAGGCCUCAUGUCAGACAAAUUUUGCCAGGCUAGAAAACCCCCCCAUACACUAAUCUUUAGUUUAAUCCAUAAUCAAGAGGACAUUAUUCUUGGAGCACAUGGACCUUGAGUCUUAAUCAAAGGGGGGAAGAGAGGGAGACUUUUCCACGUGCUCUUCGAUUAACUUAGGCCUCUAGGACAAGUAAUGUAAAGGCUUAUCAGCAGCUUCCAAAGAGUCUUCUAGUUGGCUUCUACAAAGUACCGAAAUUCAACACUUUAUAAAGGAGAUUAUCAUUAUUGACACUUAUUGGCUAUGUAAAGACAAAAGAUAUACCUAGGUUUUUCGCAAACGAUGUUAAUUGGACAUCAGCGUCAAACGUGGGAAUUUGGGAUUGUAUCAGGACUAAUUGAAGAAAAGAUGAGAUUCAUGAUUUCGUGAAUACUAAUGGUACGAUUAUAUCUUAACAUAACGCCCAUCCUCAUUCAAUUGCUUUUAGAAUGAAGAAAGCCUAAGUCAUGCGAGCUCAGCACAUGUCGAUGAAAGAAGAAUGGUUCGAACCUUCAUAUUACAAAGGAGAAUGUGCAAAUUGGUGAAAGAGAAAGUUGGGCGAAUACCCGUCCAUUCUAAUAGUCAGUCAUUGAUUAUAUUUCAUAUCAAUUUCAUGUCCGACUAUUCAUAGUCAUGGAAGAGGUGAUCUUGAAGAUCAUCGUAUUCCGAUACUUCAAAUCAAGAUUUGCUCUUUGCUUGUCAUGAGUAGACAAAGUCCGAAUUUUCACGUCUACCGCCGUGUCAAACUUUACUAGGAUGAGAAGAUUAUCUUUUAAGGUAUCAUAAUCAGUCGACAUGUCUUGUCAAUCACAUGAACAGUAAAUUACUCAACUCACUCGAAAAGCCUAAAAUCCUUCGUCGAUGAAUCUCCUAUGAAAUUAAACUUACCACUCUCCGGCAUGAAAACAACAAUCAGAGCAUAUAGACACACGGCUACGCUAAUAGUCACAACAAAAGCAAAGAUUUAGGAAAAACGAGGGAGAUUAUCUUAAAUGGGAGUUAGAUUAUGAUGUGCAUCUUUAUCAAGAUGUAAUACUAAUCACGAUCUGACGGAUUGGAUGGAAGAGACGUGAGUUGCUUCAAAGUGUGGAAAUUGGGGCAGAUGAAUCCAAACGCAAGUGCCUUGGACUUGGGGUUUAGUCAAUUAAGAAAAACGUCUUUUGGGGAAAAAGAGAGACGAGAAAGGCAAAUGGAUGGGAAAAGAAUGGCGUGAUUGGAAGUGAAAAAUGCUAAAGGUUGAAAAAG
Molecule: long non-coding RNA, 39426 nt
Filed under: Eucalyptus grandis
Lineage: Eukaryota; Viridiplantae; Streptophyta; Magnoliopsida; Myrtales; Myrtaceae
Description: long non-coding RNA (EGRA_LNC004338)
Source: RNAcentral